GAUGAACGCUGGCGGCGUGCCUAAUACAUGCAAGUCGAGCGAACGGACGAUAAUCUUGCGUCUCUGAUGUUAGCGGCGGACGGGUGAGUAACGCGUGUAUAACCUACCUAUAUUACUGGGAUAACUUCGGGAAACCGGAUCUUAUACCGUAGAAUAUUUUGAACCGCAUGGUUCAAAAGUGAAAGUCGGUCUUGCUGUCAGUUAUAGCUGGAUCCGCGCUGCAUUAGCUAGUUGGUAAGGUAACGGCUUACCAAGGCAACGAUGCGUAGCCGAACUGAGAGGCGGAUCGGCCACACUGGAACUGAAACACGGUCCAGACUCCUACGGGAGGCAGCAGUAGGGAACCUGCCGCAACGGGCGAAAGCAUGACGGAGCAACGCCGCGUGAGUGAUGAAGGUCUUCGGAUCGUAAAACCCUGUUAUUGGGGAAGAACAUAUGUGUACGUAGAUGUGGACAGCUUGACGGUACCUAAUAAGAAAGCACCGGCUAACUACGUG
RNAcentral lists this ribosomal RNA (497 nucleotides) under uncultured bacterium. RNAcentral describes it as "partial 16S ribosomal RNA". It matches the Rfam family "Bacterial small subunit ribosomal RNA", at positions 28 to 507 of the family's 1533-position model. The record is from RNAcentral.